This 195-nucleotide long non-coding RNA is filed under the name Scleropages formosus (Asian bonytongue). RNAcentral's name for it is "lncRNA (ENSSFOG00015030101.1)". Lineage: Eukaryota; Metazoa; Chordata; Actinopteri; Osteoglossiformes; Osteoglossidae. The record is from RNAcentral.
GCGGGGGCGAGGGCGGGCAAUUAUUUCUCACAUUCAUGUUUUUCCGCCAAGACUUUGAAGUGACUGUCAGCCUGUGACGAGUGAGCAGGGAGAGAUGGACAGCGACGGAAUGGAGCGUGAUGCUGAGGAUGAUGAAGGUGCGGUGAAGGGCAAGUGACCUUAACUGCGGUGGCAGCAGGGUACAGGAGACACCCU